RNAcentral lists this ribosomal RNA (486 nucleotides) under uncultured bacterium. RNAcentral describes it as "partial 16S ribosomal RNA". It matches the Rfam family "Bacterial small subunit ribosomal RNA", at positions 30 to 507 of the family's 1533-position model. The record is from RNAcentral.
AUUGAACGCUGGCGGCAUGCCUUACACAUGCAAGUCGAACGGCAGCACGGGUGCUUGCCCCUGGUGGCGAGUGGCGAACGGGUGAGUAAUACAUCGGAACAUGUCCUGUAGUGGGGGAUAGCCCGGCGAAAGCCGGAUUAAUACCGCAUACGAUCUACGGAUGAAAGCGGGGGACCUUCGGGCCUCGCGCUAUAGGGUUGGCCGAUGGCUGAUUAGCUAGUUGGUGGGGUAAAGGCCUACCAAGGCGACGGUCAGUAGCUGGUCUGAGAGGACGACCAGCCACACUGGGACUGAGACACGGCCCAGACUCCUACGGGAGGCAGCAGUGGGGAAUUUUGGACAAUGGGCGAAAGCCUGAUCCAGCAAUGCCGCGUGUGUGAAGAAGGCCUUCGGGUUGUAAAGCACUUUUGUCCGGAAAGAAAUCCUUGGCCCUAAUACGGUCGGGGGAUGACGGUACCGGAAGAAUAAGCACCGGCUAACUACGUG